UUUUUUCUCAUUAAGUAUCUAUUGACAUGAAAGCAAAGAAAAUUUGAGAAUGUUCCACAAGAGGGCAAACGUUGCAAGGACCCAGAACAAAGAGUUGUAACAGCCUUGUUGGUAAAAUUGCUCAACUGAACAAUCUUGGCAAACAGCAUUCCGGAACAUCUUUCAUUUUUCCAUGACAUUGUCACAUGAUCAGCCUAGACUAUUGACAUAGACUAACCCAAUCUAAACAUCUUCCUCUUUUCUUCAAACACAAGGCUCCUGUUCUGACCAGUGCAGUGUGCCUAAUCAAUUGGGAUAAUUAAAUAUGACAAGGGAUUACACAUAGUAAUAUGAAGUACCAGGUCUGGAUGAAACCUCUUGCUGUGGGCUGAAACCAUCCAAUGAAAUUACUCUUGUACAGCUCACCCAAAAACUGGUUUCAUAGUGCUUGAAAUCUUUGCAGUCUUGUCGUGUUGGCCAAGUAGUCAUUAUCCCUACUUAUACAGCAAACCCGUCAUAGACUUUGAACUGCAAAAACAAUGACUGUAGGGUUCUUGAUGAGGUUUGCCAUUAAAUUAUUUUGGCAUCAAUUACACUACCAAAAUUAAACAUCAUGGCUGAACUGGUGACUCCAUAAGUCAGUCUACUGGGCUUUACUUGGACAUAAUUGCUAUUGACUUGAAAAUUGUUUGUUACCCAUCUCCUUCACUAAAUACUUUUCAUUCCAGUCGAAUCCAAUCCCCAAAUGACCAGAGCUUCAUUCUUAUAACCCCUUUCCUUACAUAGAUUUACAUUUCAGUGACUUGUAAAACCCCUUUAUUCAUACCAAUGAUGAAAUACCUAUUCCAUUUACGUGAAAGACUGGAUCCAAAUACUUUUUUUUUGCUAUUUCUAUUGCAGUGUAGACUUUUUCAUCUUGUUUAAAUACACCACAUGGUUCUUCGAAUAUGACACAUUAUAAAACCAAAGCUGUAUUUACGCAAACCCCGUUGUUAAACGUAGUUUUAAAGACAUUUCUUUAUUCACUACAGAGUCAAUAUCUCCUUGUUGAAUUUCUGAAGAAAUCUGAACUAUUAAUAUCCUGAUUUCCUGCAUACUUAAAAAUGCCACUAAAGUUGUGAAAUAGGUUUUGUACAUUUAUUUAUACAGCUUUACAAAAGAGGAAUUAAUACUGGCUAAAAAUUUCCUCCUCCUGUCAGAAAAUUCUUCCUGUGUUGAAUGAUAUUUUAUAAAAUCUGUACUUUUCACUUCCUUAAUAGAGGAGAGAGAGAGUGAGUGAGUGAGAGAGAAAGAGAAAUGAAAGUGUAGUAAAACAUUAGAGAUUAAUCCAGCUUUUGAAUACUGUAAACGUACUUUUUUCCACGUGUUCAUAAGUCCGUGGAAUCACAAUUUCUGUUUAUUCCGCGGGUAGAAAAUAGGGCGGAUUUCUUAGAUUGCCACUUAAUGUCUUUCAUUUACUUUAAAGUACGCUGGGAUAAAUUUCCGCGGAAAAUUUGUGACCGCGUACAUAGCGUAAAUUAAUACCGUGCGGAAAAAAGUAUUUCUACAGUAUAUACAUAAUGAAAAUAUUCAUUAAGGGGAAAAUAUAAGAAUUUAAAAAACAUUCCGAUACUUGUUUUGACACAAUUUUGUCUUCGAUGGUUGAAUCUCCAGCUGCUGUUAAUGACCAAGUCCUCCUGAUCAGUUUUGUCAGUUGUAAAUUGUACUAUUCCAAUGAUCAUCAUGUAUUACAAAGAAACCUAUAAUCAUCAUUUUACAAAUAAAUUUCUUCUCUUCAAUUUACAUGUAUAUCUAUUCUCAUUUUUCAAAGAUUGUUCUUUAAUAUAUAUAAUAUCUCAUUUUCACUUUCCAAAGAUUUUUCCACUUUGUUUUAAAAUGUUCCAUUUUCAAUGAUAAUUAGAGACUGAGACAUCUCCGGGUAUUAACAUUCACAUUUGAUAAAACCACUUUUACAGUAGACCUCAUCAUACUCAAUUAAUAUUUGUAUUAAUCUAAGAAAAUCCAGCUGUCUCACAAAAUCAGAAGUAUAUAUUCCUUUUAAUUCAAGUCCCUUGGAGCACAGCAAUUUGGGUUUGUGUGUUCUUGUGAGCUCUCAUGUUAUUGCAAUUGACAAUGAAGAGAUUGUUCAGAGAAUCUACUGUUACAAAUUUUGAAGAGCUUUGAUGAACAAUUUGAUAGGAGCUGAAUUUUAAUAAUAAAAAAGUAUAGGUAUCAUUUGUAAGUAGACUAUAAAACUCUUUUUCUGAUGUCAACUUUCUACAGCGAUCCCUAUUACAUAACCAAAUCUGUUUAUAUUUCCUACAGAAUCUUUAACCUUUCAAGCACAUAAAAGAAUUUACUAAGGUAGAAAACGUUAUAAUUCAUUACAAAAACAAUUAGAAAUAAUUAACAUGAAGCCAUUAAUUGAUAUUCUUUCUGCAGCACAGUUAUUAAUCAAGUAAGUAAGGCAGCUAGCGCUAAACAUUCACAGCUGCAUCAAGUGUCUACAAAGUUCACUAUUUCUAAUUCAAUAUUUUAUCGAAUCACGGAUAAAAUAUUCAUAAACACCAGAACUCCCGCUCCUAGCCUAUGAAAAACAAGACCCUAUACAUUGCAUUAACUUCUAAAAAUCAAUGAUUUUCCUAUCACCUAAUCCAGAAGGGUUAUCAACCCUGUGUUUUCACAUUGGUCAGGAUAUACCACAAUAGAAUGUAUUCAAAAAAUCUCAAAAUAUCAACUGAUCAUCUCAUUCCCCAUGAGAUACAGAGAUGGUGGCUCAAAUAUAUCACAGAUGAAAAUGGAGAGGCUCGGGUCUAAAGCGAAUUUCCUCACUCAGGUGUCUCAGGUGAUUAGGUGAAUAUUGCGGAUCAAUGUUGGGGGUUUAGAUUUCACUAUGAUUGCACGCUCAUACAGCUUUUUUUGUUCCUAUAGUUUUUGAAUUGGUCUUUAAAAUCACAGGCAAUAAACAGACACGUCAAAAAUGCAACAAUAACAAGUAAAGACUGUUUUCUUUAAAUCCGGGAUUAUCUUUGUAAUCUCUUAUACUGAUUUUUUAAUGGGAUUUUUCACUUGAGAGGGAAUAAUACCGAUUAUUUCCUUUAAUUUUUGGCAAGGAAAUAAUUGUAAUUGCUGAACAGGAAAUCCAAGUGCUACCAGUUUUCGAUACUCUACGAACAAUAAUCACAAGUGUACCCGAUCGUUAGUGCUCAUUAAUUAUCAGCUGUUCAUAAACAGCAACCACAUCCUGGGCAAACUAAAAAAAACAAGACUUGUCACCACUUGUAUACUUCCUUUAAACAAAAUAUACAUGCUAUUUAUGAACCUCCUAAAUUACAUGACCAAAAUUCAAACAGGUACCAUUUCUGAAAUGGAAUAUCAAUCAACGUGAUUAACCAGGUCUAAUUUCUCAACAAUACAAACAUGACAUAGGGUGGGCAACCAUGCUUACCCAAAAUAUCCUGUCACCACAUCCUCAAUGUGGAAAUGUCCAUCACUAGAAAUUGUUUUUCUUUAAAAAGGUUUUUUUUCCCUACAGAAAUCAGGUAGACGGAAAAUGGUUUUAACGAGAUGCCUUUCCCUGACGCAUACCGGCACUUUUACACAACCUUCAAUAAUGUUCUGGAAACGGAAAAUGAUGCCAUUAAGAGCUGGAGCAUCUACACCGCUGAAAGCAUGCAGGAUCAAAUAUUACAACACAAGUCAAAUGUGUGAUUGCUUCUAGUGAAUGUUAAUGCGCAUGUAUUUUCUUUCUCAUUUGGUCACGUGUGUAUCACAUAGAAUUAUCUACCUGUGCAAAUCUUUUUCUCCAAUUGAGGAAAAAACAAAACCAUUACUUCCUCUCCUCCUCUGAGAAACCCUAUCUGAUUUUUGCCCCCUAUUUUUCAACAAGAUUAAAUCAGCAUUUUGUUAUUCAUUUCAUUCCUUUCCGACCCAUUAACCACUACACAUAAGCAGUCCUCUAUAUAAAACCAAACACUAUAAGCCCUAAAAGUACAGACCCGACGACAUUUUUCUUUUGUAUUUCUUUUUACCCACAAAUCAAUGGGAGAAGGAGAGAGAUUGAGAUCACAGUUUUCAAUUUGUGAUCCAGAAAUUGUUCUCCCUCCAAACCUCUGCUGGUCAACUGGCCCAGGUAAUGACACUGACCACAUAAUAAAGAGUAGGCCUAUACAUGGCUAGCCAAUGUCCUCGAGUGACCCCAAAUGACCACAGUCUUCUGGUAAUCCCGCCAGUUGGCUAUGUAUUUAGGUCAAAUAUCCCCACUAUACUUCAGUCCAACUGAACCUCAGUCAACCAAUCAAAGCACACACUUACCUUCCUAAAUCAUUGUCUGAAAAUCUCUAGUGCCAGUGGAAUCACCAUGUUACAAUGAAUAGUCAAUCUCACUUCACUUUGCCAUGUCUUUCUCUCUAAAAGUGUCUUCAACACACU
Long non-coding RNA from Ostrea edulis (European flat oyster), 4389 nucleotides. RefSeq lists it as uncharacterized. The transcript has 2 exons. The record is from RefSeq and is a predicted model, not a curated record. NCBI's taxonomy places the organism in Eukaryota, Metazoa, Mollusca, Bivalvia, Ostreida, Ostreidae.